RNAcentral lists this transfer RNA (77 nucleotides) under Chitinophaga sp. Its description in RNAcentral is "tRNA-Ala". It matches the Rfam family "tRNA". Rfam says of the family: Transfer RNA (tRNA) molecules are approximately 80 nucleotides in length. Their secondary structure includes four short double-helical elements and three loops (D, anti-codon, and T loops). The record is from RNAcentral. Lineage: Bacteria; Pseudomonadati; Bacteroidota; Chitinophagia; Chitinophagales; Chitinophagaceae. RNAcentral also lists the same sequence under 2 other names.
GGGGGGUUAGCUCAGUUGGCUAGAGCGCUUGCAUGGCAUGCAAGAGGUCGUCGGUUCGACCCCGAUACUCUCCACUA